CCGAAACUGAAAUGCAAAUUACUGAUUUACGGAUCGGCAGCAGAAGGCGGCCGAGCAGACCCCGCGAACCGGACUUGUAAAAAGAUAAAAAUAUUUUUUUUACGGAUCCAGUUUACGGGGUGUGCUCGGUCGUCACCAGCGCCGACCCGUAAAAUCGUUUUUCUGUAAACGCAUUUUAGAGAUCGGCAUUAUACGGAGCACCUCUAACCGUUUCCAACGGGCAAGAAACGGAAACGGGUCUGUAAUAUUUUGGGAGUAAUUGUCAUGCCGCUGGGCAGGAGGUUCUGUAAAACUCAAACUAUAUUCUCCUCUUAUUUAAAGAAUGAGGCAAAUCUUAUGCCUCUGUUUCAAAAAAAAGGAAGGGUCAGUUCAUCUUCAAGCACGUACGGCUCAUAGCCAAUCAAUCAAUUAAAUGAGUGUAUAUGCAAACCAGAUGACGAUCGAUCCAUUGCUCCAUGCUGAUGGAUUUUCAUUCAGCAUAUUUGUAGAUUGUGGUGGUGUACUGGUGUUGACAUCUUCCGCCGGCGGCGCAUGCUAUCAAUCUGCAUGGAAAUCAGCCGAGGGCAGCGUCUCGCCUUGGCGCUGGAAGGCUUCGCCGCGGGUGUUCAACGGAACUGCCGUGGAGAGGCCCCUUCUUUCUUUUCUUCACGGCCAAGUUGAUCUCUGUUGGGAGCGUUCGUAACUGCCGCUUGGAGGGGUUCUUUCUCUCUCAGCGGAGAGACAGUGAGACACGUGCUACAUGUUGUAAAGCAAAAGCAAAAAAUUCACUUAGAUCCAUUUUUAUGUGAUAGAUCCACUUAUAUACAAGAUUAAGGGGUGUGUUUAAGAAAUACCUUUUCCCAACAGACACCUUCUGAAAGGCAUCCCUUCCAUAUAAUUAAUUACAUGCA
RNAcentral lists this long non-coding RNA (890 nucleotides) under Hordeum vulgare. RNAcentral describes it as "long non-coding RNA (HVUL_LNC005917)". The record is from RNAcentral. Lineage: Eukaryota; Viridiplantae; Streptophyta; Magnoliopsida; Poales; Poaceae.